AACUUUCAACAACGGAUCUCUUGGUUCUGGCAUCGAUGAAAAACGCAGCGAAAUGCGAUAAGUAGUGUGAAUUGCAGAAUUCAGUGAAUCAUCGAAUCUUU
This 101-nucleotide ribosomal RNA is filed under the name Cenococcum geophilum. RNAcentral describes it as "partial 5.8S ribosomal RNA". It matches the Rfam family "5.8S ribosomal RNA", at positions 1 to 101 of the family's 154-position model. From Rfam's summary of the family: 5.8S ribosomal RNA (5.8S rRNA) is a component of the large subunit of the eukaryotic ribosome. It is transcribed by RNA polymerase I as part of the 45S precursor that also contains 18S and 28S rRNA. The record is from RNAcentral. Lineage: Eukaryota; Fungi; Ascomycota; Dothideomycetes; Gloniales; Gloniaceae.